This 22-nucleotide non-coding RNA is filed under the name Sclerotinia sclerotiorum. Lineage: Eukaryota; Fungi; Ascomycota; Leotiomycetes; Helotiales; Sclerotiniaceae. The record is from RNAcentral.
UGGAGGUUUUUUGCAGUAUGAU